This 253-nucleotide ribosomal RNA is filed under the name uncultured bacterium. RNAcentral's name for it is "partial 16S ribosomal RNA". It matches the Rfam family "Bacterial small subunit ribosomal RNA", at positions 524 to 776 of the family's 1533-position model. The record is from RNAcentral.
UACGUAGGGUGCGAGCGUUGUCCGGAAUUACUGGGCGUGAAGAGCUCGUAGGUGGUUUGUCGCGUUGUUCGUGAAAACCGGGGGCUUAACCCUCGGCGUGCGGGCGAUACGGGCAGACUUGAGUACUGCAGGGGAGACUGGAAUUCCUGGUGUAGCGGUGGAAUGCGCAGAUAUCAGGAGGAACACCGGUGGCGAAGGCGGGUCUCUGGGCAGUAACUGACGCUGAGGAGCGAAAGCGUGGGGAGCGAACAGG